RNAcentral lists this ribosomal RNA (159 nucleotides) under Chaetopsina penicillata. Its description in RNAcentral is "partial large subunit ribosomal RNA". It matches the Rfam family "Eukaryotic large subunit ribosomal RNA", at positions 99 to 261 of the family's 3401-position model. Lineage: Eukaryota; Fungi; Ascomycota; Sordariomycetes; Hypocreales; Nectriaceae. The record is from RNAcentral.
CGGCAACAGCUCAAAUUUGAAAUCUGGCCCCCGGGUCCGAGUUGUAAUUUGCAGAGGAUGCUUUUGGUGAGGUGCCUUCCGAGUUCCCUGGAACGGGACGCCAUAGAGGGUGAGAGCCCCGUCUGGUCGCGCACCGAGCCUCUGUAAAGCUCCUUCGAC